UGGGGAAUAUUGCACAAUGGGGGAAACCCUGAUGCAGCGACGCCGCGUGAGCGAAGAAGGUUUUCGAAUCGUAAAGCUCUGUCCUAUGAGAAGAUAAUGACGGUAUCAUAGGAGGAAGCCCCGGCUAAAUACGUGCCAGCAGCCGCGGUAAUACGUAUGGGGCGAGCGUUGUCCGGAAUUAUUGGGCGUAAAGGGUACGUAGGCGGUCUAUUAAGUCAGGUGUGAAAGCGUGAGGCUUAACCUCAUUAAGCACUUGAAACUGAUAGACUUGAGUGAAGGAGAGGGAAGUGGAAUUCCUAGUGUAGCGGUGAAAUGCGUAGAUAUUAGGAGGAAUACCAGUGGCGAAGGCGACUUUCUGGACUUUUACUGACGCUCAGGUACAAAAGCGUGGGGAGCAAACAGG
This 403-nucleotide ribosomal RNA is filed under the name Verrucomicrobiota bacterium. Its description in RNAcentral is "Verrucomicrobia bacterium partial 16S ribosomal RNA". It matches the Rfam family "Bacterial small subunit ribosomal RNA", at positions 355 to 776 of the family's 1533-position model. Lineage: Bacteria; Pseudomonadati; Verrucomicrobiota. The record is from RNAcentral.